UCUUCUUCCUUAAUUCCCUAAAUCAAAGCAAAGUUCCUCUUCCCUAAAUUAGACGCAGAGAUGGCGAGAAGCGGCGAGAAGCGAGAAGAAAAAGGAAGAAUCAGAAGCGAAGAAUAAUGGGCAAGAAAAACAGAAAGAAUCAGAUGGCAGCUAGAUGAAGAUGCUCUGGUUAUUCUUUUUCAUUGUCGGUAUUUUUUUUACUUUUAAUUUGUGAACUAAAAAAUAUAGCUUGUAUGGUCUGACUUUUGAGGAUGAAGAUGACUUCUGUGAUGGGUUGAUAGUCUUUUUCAUUAUUAUUAUUAUUAUUAUUAUUAUUAUUAUUAUUAUUAUUAUUAUUAUUUUGCUUUUAAUUUUUGAGUUUUGUUGUAUGUUCAUGGUUGCCUGUGUGUGAGGGGAAGGCCCGUGUGUGAGGGGAAGGAGAAGGGGAGAAGAUGAUUGAAGGGUAAAAUUAUCAUUUAUCAACUUGAGUUUGAUCAGCUAUCUUGAAAACACUUGUCUUGGUAGCUUUUUUAGUUUCAGCUGAUUGCACCAAUAAGCUAAGUGAAUAAGCUGAUUACCAAACACCAAUUUUAGCCAAAUCAACUAAAAAAUGGCUGAUAAGCCAAUAUCCAAACACCCCCGCUAUUUGGAGUAAUUCUCUAUCCUUUUCUCUGUGGCUAAGAGUAACCCCCUCCCAAAAUGAUGGAUUCCCGCUUGUUGCAGAAAGACUUGAACCAAACUACUAAACUGUUGGUCAGUACUGAGGAAGAACUAAGACAAUGCCAAUAUGCCCUAAAGGAACGAGAUUUUAUAAUAUCUGAACAGAAAAAAGCUGAAAAUGCAUUGAUACAUCAAGCAUGCGUUUUGCGCGCUGACUUGGAGAGAGCUCUCCAAGACAAUGCUGGACUAUUUCUUAAAAUUAGUAUGUUGUUGAGCUGUUCAGUGAUAACUUGCUAAGCUUGUGCUGAUAAUAGGUCAGUUGUAAAUGGCUUCCAAGCUGAGCUUGCAAACCAGCUUGGUUCUCUUUGUAACAGAGUGGCCAUGUCUAUGUCCCAGCAGAGUGAACACCUUCAAUGUGUGAGAAAUUCUGUGGUUUUGUAAGGAUAUGUAUGCAUCCCUACAUUUGUUUUUGGAAGGUUAUUUCUGCUUUCUAGGGGUUUGAAACUAUGACCUAGUGGUCAAUGGGUGGGCACUUUGCUACUGCAGCAAACACA
Ipomoea triloba (trilobed morning glory) is the source of this 1193-nucleotide long non-coding RNA. RefSeq lists it as uncharacterized. The transcript has 2 exons. The record is from RefSeq and is a predicted model, not a curated record. Lineage: Eukaryota; Viridiplantae; Streptophyta; Magnoliopsida; Solanales; Convolvulaceae.